Molecule: ribosomal RNA, 281 nt
Filed under: uncultured bacterium
Lineage: Bacteria
Description: partial 16S ribosomal RNA
Rfam family: Bacterial small subunit ribosomal RNA
Source: RNAcentral
UGAUCCUGGCUCAGGAUGAACGCUGGCGGCGCGCCUAACACAUGCAAGUCGAACGGCACCCCUCUCCGGAGGGAAGCGAGUGGCGAACGGCUGAGUAACACGUGGAGAACCUGCCCCCCUCCCCCCGGGAUAGCCGCCCGAAAGGACGGGUAAUAUCGGAUACCCCCGGGCGCCGCAUGGCGCCCGGGCUAAAGCCCCGACGGGAGGGGAUGGCUCCGCGGCCCAUCAGGUAGACGGCGGGGUGACGGCCCACCGUGCCGACAACGGGUAGCCGGGUUGAG